Molecule: ribosomal RNA, 501 nt
Filed under: uncultured bacterium
Lineage: Bacteria
Description: partial 16S ribosomal RNA
Rfam family: Bacterial small subunit ribosomal RNA
Source: RNAcentral
AUUGAACGCUGGCGGCAUGCCUUACACAUGCAAGUCGAACGGCAGCACGGGUGCUUGCACCUGGUGGCGAGUGGCGAACGGGUGAGUAAUAUAUCGGAACGUACCUUAUCGUGGGGGAUAACGCAGCGAAAGCUAUGCUAAUACCGCAUAAGCCCUAAGGGGGAAAGCAGGGGACCGUAAGGCCUUGCGCGAUUAGAGCGGCCGAUACCUGAUUAGCUAGUUGGUGAGGUAAAGGCUCACCAAGGCAACGAUCAGUAGCUGGUCUGAGAGGACGAUCGGCCACACUGGGGCUGAGACACGGCCCAGACUCCUACGGGAGGCAGCAGUGGGGAAUUUUGGACAAUGGGGGCAACCCUGAUCCAGCAAUGCCGCGUGAGUGAAGAAGGCCUUCGGGUUGUAAAGCUCUUUUGUCAGGGAAGAAACAGCAGCUCUAAUACAGUAUGCGAAUGACGGUACCUGAAGAAUAAGCACCGGCUAACUACGUGCCAGCCGCCGCCGUAA